RNAcentral lists this ribosomal RNA (247 nucleotides) under uncultured bacterium. Its description in RNAcentral is "partial small subunit ribosomal RNA". It matches the Rfam family "Bacterial small subunit ribosomal RNA", at positions 26 to 285 of the family's 1533-position model. The record is from RNAcentral.
AGAAUCAACGCUGGCGGCGUGCCUAACACAUGCAAGUCGCACGAGAAAGGGGACUUCGGUCCCUGAGUAAAGUGGCGCACGGGUGAGUAACACGUGACUAACCUACCCUCGAGUGGGGAAUAACCUAGGGAAACCUGGGCUAAUACCGCAUAACACUUACGAGUCAAAGCAGCAAUGCGCUUGAGGAGGGGGUCGCGGCAGAUUAGCUAGUUGGCGGGGUAAUGGCCCACCAAGGCAAUGAUCUGUA